Molecule: ribosomal RNA, 253 nt
Filed under: uncultured bacterium
Lineage: Bacteria
Description: partial 16S ribosomal RNA
Rfam family: Bacterial small subunit ribosomal RNA
Source: RNAcentral
UACGGAGGGGGCUAGCGUUGUUCGGAAUUACUGGGCGUAAAGCGCACGUAGGCGGCUUUGCAAGUUAGAGGUGAAAGCCCGGGGCUCAACUCCGGAAUUGCCUUUAAAACUGCAUCGCUAGAAUUGUGGAGAGGUAAGUGGAAUUCCGAGUGUAGGGGUGAAAUUCGUAGAUAUUCGGAAGAACACCAGUGGCGAAGGCGGCUCACUGGACCGUUGUUGACGCUGAGGUGCGAAAGCGUGGGGAGCAAACAGG